GCCGCGAUAGCUUUGUUGGGAGUGCGUCAGACUGAAGAUCUGAAGGUCACUGAUUCGAUCCCGAGUCACGGCA
This 73-nucleotide transfer RNA is filed under the name Hofstenia miamia. RNAcentral's name for it is "tRNA-Phe for anticodon GAA". It matches the Rfam family "tRNA". From Rfam's summary of the family: Transfer RNA (tRNA) molecules are approximately 80 nucleotides in length. Their secondary structure includes four short double-helical elements and three loops (D, anti-codon, and T loops). Further hydrogen bonds mediate the characteristic L-shaped molecular structure. tRNAs have two regions of fundamental functional importance: the anti-codon, which is responsible for specific mRNA codon recognition, and the 3' end, to which the tRNAs corresponding amino acid is attached (by aminoacyl-tRNA synthetases). tRNAs cope with the degeneracy of the genetic code in two manners: having more than one tRNA (with a specific anti-codon) for a particular amino acid; and 'wobble' base-pairing, i.e. permitting non-standard base-pairing at the 3rd anti-codon position. Lineage: Eukaryota; Metazoa; Xenacoelomorpha; Acoela; Hofsteniidae. The record is from RNAcentral.